RNAcentral lists this ribosomal RNA (940 nucleotides) under Escherichia coli. Its description in RNAcentral is "partial 23S ribosomal RNA". It matches the Rfam family "Bacterial large subunit ribosomal RNA", at positions 325 to 1268 of the family's 2925-position model. The record is from RNAcentral. Lineage: Bacteria; Pseudomonadati; Pseudomonadota; Gammaproteobacteria; Enterobacterales; Enterobacteriaceae.
UGUGUUAGUGGAAGCGUCUGGAAAGGCGCGCGAUACAGGGUGACAGCCCCGUACACAAAAAUGCACAUAUUGUGAGCUCGAUGAGUAGGGCGGGACACGUGGUAUCCUGUCUGAAUAUGGGGGGACCAUCCUCCAAGGCUAAAUACUCCUGACUGACCGAUAGUGAACCAGUACCGUGAGGGAAAGGCGAAAAGAACCCCGGCGAGGGGAGUGAAAAAGAACCUGAAACCGUGUACGUACAAGCAGUGGGAGCACGCUCAGGCGUGUGACUGCGUACCUUUUGUAUAAUGGGUCAGCGACUUAUAUUCUGUAGCAAGGUUAACCGAAUAGGGGAGCCGAAGGGAAACCGAGUCUUAACUGGGCGUUAAGUUGCAGGGUAUAGACCCGAAACCCGGUGAUCUAGCCAUGGGCAGGUUGAAGGUUGGGUAACACUAACUGGAGGACCGAACCGACUAAUGUUGAAAAAUUAGCGGAUGACUUGUGGCUGGGGGUGAAAGGCCAAUCAAACCGGGAGAUAGCUGGUUCUCCCCGAAAGCUAUUUAGGUAGCGCCUCGUGAAUUCAUCUCCGGGGGUAGAGCACUGUUUCGGCAAGGGGGUCAUCCCGACUUACCAACCCGAUGCAAACUGCGAAUACCGGAGAAUGUUAUCACGGGAGACACACGGCGGGUGCUAACGUCCGUCGUGAAGAGGGAAACAACCCAGACCGCCAGCUAAGGUCCCAAAGUCAUGGUUAAGUGGGAAACGAUGUGGGAAGGCCCAGACAGCCAGGAUGUUGGCUUAGAAGCAGCCAUCAUUUAAAGAAAGCGUAAUAGCUCACUGGUCGAGUCGGCCUGCGCGGAAGAUGUAACGGGGCUAAACCAUGCACCGAAGCUGCGGCAGCGACACUAUGUGUUGUUGGGUAGGGGAGCGUUCUGUAAGCCUGCGAAGGUGUACUGUGAGG